Molecule: ribosomal RNA, 588 nt
Filed under: Stutzerimonas xanthomarina
Lineage: Bacteria; Pseudomonadati; Pseudomonadota; Gammaproteobacteria; Pseudomonadales; Pseudomonadaceae
Description: bacterial SSU rRNA
Rfam family: Bacterial small subunit ribosomal RNA
Source: RNAcentral
GAGGGGAGCUUGCUCUCUGAUUCAGCGGCGGACGGGUGAGUAAUGCCUAGGAAUCUGCCUGGUAGUGGGGGACAACGUUUCGAAAGGAACGCUAAUACCGCAUACGUCCUACGGGAGAAAGCAGGGGACCUUCGGGCCUUGCGCUAUCAGAUGAGCCUAGGUCGGAUUAGCUAGUUGGUGAGGUAAUGGCUCACCAAGGCUGCGAUCCGUAACUGGUCUGAGAGGAUGAUCAGUCACACUGGAACUGAGACACGGUCCAGACUCCUACGGGAGGCAGCAGUGGGGAAUAUUGGACAAUGGGCGAAAGCCUGAUCCAGCCAUGCCGCGUGUGUGAAGAAGGUCUUCGGAUUGUAAAGCACUUUAAGUUGGGAGGAAGGGCAGUAAGUUAAUACCUUGCUGUUUUGACGUUACCGACAGAAUAAGCACCGGCUAACUUCGUGCCAGCAGCCGCGGUAAUACGAAGGGUGCAAGCGUUAAUCGGAAUUACUGGGCGUAAAGCGCGCGUAGGUGGUUUGUUAAGUUGGAAGUGAAAGCCCCGGGCUCAACCUGGGAACUGCUUUCAAAACUGGCAAGCUAGAGUAUGGCAGA